Long non-coding RNA from Erinaceus europaeus (western European hedgehog), 1116 nucleotides. RefSeq lists it as uncharacterized. NCBI's taxonomy places the organism in Eukaryota, Metazoa, Chordata, Mammalia, Eulipotyphla, Erinaceidae. The record is from RefSeq and is a predicted model, not a curated record. The transcript has 3 exons.
UUAUUUAAAUUUCCUUUUCAGCGGUUCCCUAGCAGUGAAGCACUGCUGGUUUGUUUUGCAGAGUCACUGCAGCCUUUUCUGGAGGCCUGCAGCAACACUUUAUUUUUUCGGACUUGCUCGGUGCUGCUUCGAACGCCUAAGCUGGAUCUUCAUAUACUAGAAAAGCUCAGCAUCAUUCUUCAGAAACUUUCCAAAAUCAAAAGCAACAAGAAGCUCUUUGAACUUUUUACAAUUCACCUGAUGCUUCAAGAAAUACAGAGAACAACACACCCAGAGCAUGCCUUUCUCUGUAUCAACCUCAACUCAACUCUGUUCAAUUUGGGUUUGACAAAAUGCAACUCCCUGGUCUCUACUGCAAGUCAUUAGUCUGGCUUAUUAUUACUGUAUACAUAUUUACAUGCAAUGUGUGGUGCUUAUCUGUAAGACUGUAAAAUUCACCAAAGGAACUAAAAGUCUACCAAGUAAAGUUAUCAGUAGUAUUAUUUAUCAUGAAUAAUAGAACUUUUUUAAACUUUAAAAACGACAUCUAUGAGUUAAUGGAAUAUUUGGAAUAUCUUAUUCAAUGAAGUUUUAAGAUACAGUUAUAAGAAUUAAUUACAUGGGCUACUUUUUGUAAACAUUUUAGGGAAAUUAUUUGAAUUAUGUUAUUUUUGGCAAUAAAAUUGGUUCUUAUGGGUAACAGGGUUAGAGUGUGUCAUCAUUCUGUUUUCUUAGUAGAUUACCAACUUCCCUUUUGAUAAUAUAAGUAUGUAAGUACCAUGUUUAUAUCGUGAAUUUUCUGUAUGUCCUAGACCUCACAGCACUACUGGCGGGACGUCAAAGGCAUCCCUAGACCCCAAGGCUGACUUUCCAAAUUUUACAGUUCAUGGGGCUAUGUGUCCCUGGUCUUCUGUCUCCCGCCGCGAAGCUAUCCUGGCAUACUGGCGCUCUGAAAGUUGACUGAAAUAUGGUGCAACAAUGUGGGACCUAACCUGCCCAUCCCCCAGAUAAAUGAAGACAUUUGGCUACCUGUCCACUAUGGGCUGCUUUUCUACUUAUGAAGAGGUUUCCAAAGGCCUCUGCCCUUUCUUCAUGAGACUGUUUCUCUGUCUCUGGAACCCUUUGCUCUUCACACUC